This is an RNA transcript of Bombus impatiens (common eastern bumble bee), 2043 nucleotides long. It is a transcript of the gene named ribosome production factor 2 homolog, with no coding region annotated. NCBI's taxonomy places the organism in Eukaryota, Metazoa, Arthropoda, Insecta, Hymenoptera, Apidae. The transcript has 7 exons. The record is from RefSeq and is a predicted model, not a curated record.
GAUAAUUACGUAUUGCACAGUACUUUAUGUGAAUUCUUCGUCGCUAUUUCUAAAAUGAACAACGAUUAAAAUUACAAAAUUAUUGUCAGGGUGCCUACGUGCGCGGCGAUCGAGAAGAAGAUAACGCAGAAGAGAGACGGCAAAAUUUCUAAGAAAGUUUACACGAACCGCCGAAGAUAAGGUGUUGAGAAGUUAUAUCGAGAAAUUCGGACUGUUAGUUUAUGCGGCAUGCAAUAAAUAAUUUAAAGUUAUAGCCCAAGUCUUGGUAAAGUUUUCGCGAAAAGUUGCCGAGAGUAAGAUAUCAAGAGAUCGUGUUAAGAAAUUCAAACUAUUAAUUUGGUACAGUAAUGAAUAAUUUAAAGCCAGUUUACAUGUCAUGUCUCUGUCUCCCGAACCAUUUACCUCUCUUAUCUAGCCACACCUUUGGCGAAUAAUUAGAUAAUGUAUAAUUUUCCAUUCGCGCGUAUAAUCUGUCAGUUUAAAUUUCGUUCUUGUUUUAUGCUGAAUGUUUCUAGAUACGAUCAUUGAAGCCAACUUCACGCAAUUAUACUAACAGCAAGUUCAAGCGUUAGCGUAACGGUAUCAUAUAUUGCAAAAUUUUAAAUUCAUUUGACCGUUUAGAUAUAUUAUUAUCCAUGAUUAACGCGAUUAAUUAUCCGUCUUGUAUAAAAAUCCCAUCUACAAAUUCAAAACAGAAUAUGACAAAUACAUUACCACAACAAUUAGAUUUAGUGAAAGCACUAGCUCUUAAUAAUGAUUUGAUAUUGUUAGCAAAUCAAAUAUUUGGCGAAGGAAAAUGGAGUCAUAAUAUUACUAGCCAAACAAUAGAUUUUAUUGAAACUUUCAUGGGUAAAUAUGUUUGUGGAUGCGUGACACUUCUCAAGGUCCAAUUAAAAGAUGGAACAUCUCAUGAGGACAUGGGGUAUUGUUACACAGAAGGAGCUAUGAAAGGUUUAACAAUACAUUGUGCAAGAAUUGGUUCUCUUACAGAUGCCUUUAAAAGGGUAUUGUCAUGUUUUGGUAAAGAGAUAAAUACUGAGAUACAAAAUCUAUCAAAAAAGUUAUCAAAUUCACAUAUGGUUGCCGAUAGUUUAUUUAACGGAACAGAAAACAGAACUUCAGAAAUUAAAAUGCCAGAACCAUGUGCUCAAUCGACUCCGUUUAUAAGUAAAAGUGAUAAAGAAAAACAAAAAACAGAGAAUGUAUUAAAAUCAAAAUGCCCAAAUGUUGCGAAGGAGCAAGUGUCUGUAGAACAAACGGUAGCAAAUUCUGUUGCACAACCGGAGCAGUGUAUCAAAACUUCAAGCGAGAUGAAAAGUCAUGUACAGCCCGGUGUUCCGGGUAAUCAGAAAGAGCAAAAUAAUAUUGAAAUAGGAGAUUCAAAAUCAGCAUCUGAAGAAGAACUUUUACGAAUGGAACGGAAACGAAAACAAAUGGAGAAACAAGCAGAGUAUAAGAGAUUAAUGAAGGAAAGAGAACAACAGAAGACUAAUCAAAAUAAAAAAAGCAGUACAAGAUACUAGUCGAUAAAGUUAAAAACUUUAUAUGAAUAAGUCGUAUAAUCACAGUUGUAUACACAGGUGUGGAAACUCCUGUGUUAAAGGUAGUUCCUGAUUUGAGGUCAGAAGAUUUUUUGUAUUGUUUACCACACACAUGAUAUUGAGUAGUUAAAACAAUUUCAACAAGGUAUACAUUAUUUCUUCAUAAACAAUUCUAUUUAUAAUUAAAUUUCGCUUUAGGGGACACAACAUUAUGGCCUUGUGUCUCCUAUUGUUUUAACUACUCUGCAGCAACGCCGCUGUUGGUGGAUUGGAAAAACAUCAAUCGUCACAUGAUCGUGUCGUCCCCCUAUUACGGGAGUUUCAGGACUUGUGUACACGACCGCGGUUAUAGGUUAUGGACUAACAAAUGCCAUAUUGUAAACAUGCCCAUUUAAUUCCCAUUUCCAUCGAGUGUAAUUUGAUUUUGUGCAAGAACACGUGUGUUAUGUUCUGUGAUAUGUUUUACAUAAUAAAUAUUCAUUCGGUGUUUCUAUAAUUUUAA